Molecule: ribosomal RNA, 451 nt
Filed under: uncultured bacterium
Lineage: Bacteria
Description: bacterial SSU rRNA
Rfam family: Bacterial small subunit ribosomal RNA
Source: RNAcentral
UCACCAGACUCCUACGGGAGGCAGCAGUGGGGAAUAUUGCACAAUGGGCGAAAGCCUGAUGCAGCAACGCCGCGUGAAGGAAGAAGGCCUUCGGGUCGUAAACUUCUGUCCUUGGGGAAGAAGAACUGACGGUACCCAAGGAGGAAGCCCCGGCUAACUACGUGCCAGCAGCCGCGGUAAUACGUAGGGGGCAAGCGUUAUCCGGAUUUAUUGGGUGUAAAGGGUGCGUAGAUGGAUAAACAAGUUGGUUGUGAAAUCCCUCGGCUUAACUGAGGAAUUGCAACCAAAACUGUAGAUCUUGAGUACUGGAGGGGAAAGCGGAAUUCCUAGUGUAGCGGUGAAAUGCGUAGAUAUUAGGAAGAACACCGGUGGCGAAGGCGGCUUUCUGGACAGAAACUGACAUUGAGGCACGAAAGUGUGGGGAGCAAACAGGAUUAGAUACCCCCGUAUA